Pseudophryne corroboree (corroboree frog) is the source of this 483-nucleotide long non-coding RNA. RefSeq lists it as uncharacterized. Lineage: Eukaryota; Metazoa; Chordata; Amphibia; Anura; Myobatrachidae. The transcript has 3 exons. The record is from RefSeq and is a predicted model, not a curated record.
GUCGGGCUGGUGACAAGCUGUAUACGGUAGGUACUCACUAUCAGCUGCUGAAGCUGUGGUGCGCCCUGCUGUAACGCUGAGGAGAAUCCUGAUCAGUGCAGGAACUCCUCAGCAGCAUCUGCUGUGCUCCGAUUGGCUGAGUGACACAUCACACACAGUCACUCAGCCAAUCAGAGCACAGACACCCCCCACCCACACACAGACCAGCAACUACUCGGGCAGCAGGCUGAAGAAUGAAUGAUAUUGCAGCCAGGAACUCAACACAGGAGAGAUGGUAUGGUAUCAGGAUCUUUGUGAUGGCAGCGGUCAGAAUACAGACAUCACCCUUACAUGCCAAAUCCUGACACCUGGAAGCACACUUACGUUCGGGAGCCAGCAGUCGGGAUUCCAGUGCCGGCAUUUUUAUCCAUGUGGGGAUCCCGCACCAGCAUUCUGACCAAUGUUGGUAUUCCGGCAUCAGCAUUCCAAAUGCCGAUAUCCUGA